GAGAGGUGCUGCAUGGCUGUCGUCAGCUCGUGUUGUGGAAUGUUGGGUUAAGUCUCGCAACGAGCGCAACCCCUAUCGUCUGUUGCCAGCAUUAAGUUGGGCACUCUGACGAGACUGCCUGGGUUAACCAGGAGGAAGGUGGGGAUGACGUCAAGUCCUCAUGGCCCUUAUGUCUAGGGCUACACACGUAAUACAAUGGCGCGUACAAAGGGAAGCGAACUCGCAGGGGGAGCAAAUCCCAAAAAGCGCGUCUCAGUCCGGAUUGGAGUCUGCAACUCGACUCCAUGAAGUUGGAAUCGCUAGUA
Molecule: ribosomal RNA, 305 nt
Filed under: uncultured Peredibacter sp.
Lineage: Bacteria; Pseudomonadati; Bdellovibrionota; Bacteriovoracia; Bacteriovoracales; Bacteriovoracaceae
Description: bacterial SSU rRNA
Rfam family: Bacterial small subunit ribosomal RNA
Source: RNAcentral